RNAcentral lists this small RNA (146 nucleotides) under Moheibacter sediminis. Its description in RNAcentral is "Flavo-1 RNA". It matches the Rfam family "Flavo-1 RNA". The record is from Rfam by way of RNAcentral. Lineage: Bacteria; Pseudomonadati; Bacteroidota; Flavobacteriia; Flavobacteriales; Weeksellaceae.
AAUUAGCCCCGGUUGCAGUGAAAAUCCUUUUGUGAGGAUGCGUGUUUUUGUACGGUAAAAAAGAGUGGAACGCAGUGGAACUCCUUUUUUACCGCUGACAAAAUAAGCGGAUGAGCAAAAGAUUGGAACGGAAAACGGGAUGGGCU